RNAcentral lists this ribosomal RNA (468 nucleotides) under uncultured bacterium. RNAcentral's name for it is "partial 16S ribosomal RNA". It matches the Rfam family "Bacterial small subunit ribosomal RNA", at positions 28 to 507 of the family's 1533-position model. The record is from RNAcentral.
GACGAACGCUGGCGGCGUGCUUAACACAUGCAAGUCGAACGGAAAGGCCCUGCUUUUGUUGUUUUCUCGAGUGGCGAACGGGUGAGUAACACGUGAGUAACCUGCCCUUGACUUUGGGAUAACUUCAGGAAACUGGGGCUAAUACCGGAUAGGAUCUCCUGCUGCACGGUGGGGGUUGGAAAGUUUCGGCGGUUGUGGAUGGACUCGCGGCUUAUCAGCUUGUUUGGGAGGUAGUGGCUUACCAAGGCUUUGACGGGUAGGCGGCAUGGGAGGGUGACCGGCGACAUUGGGACUGAGAUACGGCCCAGACUCCUACGGGAGGCAGCAGUGGGGAAUAUUGCACAAUGGGCGGAAGCGUGAUGCAGCAACGCCGCGUGCGGGAUGACGGCCUUCGGGUUGUAAACAGCUUUCGACUGUGACGAAGCGUGAGUGACGGUAAUGGGUAAAGAAGCAACGGCUAACUACGUG